UUAAGUGACUAAGCGUACAAGGUGGAUGCCUUGGCAAUCAGAGGCGACGAAGGACGUGCUAAUCUGCGAAAAGCUUGGAUGAGUCGAUAAGAGGCGUUUAAUCCAAGAUGUCCGAAUGGGGAAACCCAGUAGAUGAAGAAUCUACUAUCACUUACUGAAUCCAUAGGUAAGUGAGGCAAACCGGGAGAACUGAAACAUCUAAGUACCCCGAGGAAAAGAAAUCAACCGAGAUUUCGUUAGUAGCGGCGAGCGAACGCGAAGGAGCCUGUUAGUGAUAAUGACAGAGACAGAGGAACAAGCUGGGAAGCUUGGCGAUACAGGGUGAUAGCCCCGUACUCGAAGUCCAGGUCAUGGUACUAAGCUAACGACAAGUAGGGCGGGACACGUGAUAUCCUGUUUGAAGAUGGGGGGACCAUCCUCCAAGGCUAAAUACUCCUGAUUGACCGAUAGUGAACCAGUACUGUGAAGGAAAGGCGAAAAGAACCCCGGUGAGGGGAGUGAAAUAGAACCUGAAACCUUGUACGUACAAGCAGUGGGAGCCCUUUAAGGGUGACUGCGUACCUUUUGUAUAAUGGGUCAGCGACUUAUAUUUUGUAGCGAGGUUAACCGAAUAGGGGAGCCGAAGGGAAACCGAGUCUUAACUGGGCGUCUAGUUGCAAGGUAUAGACCCGAAACCCGGUGAUCUAGCCAUGGGCAGGUUGAAGGUUGGGUAACACUAACUGGAGGACCGAACCGACUAAUGUUGAAAAAUUAGCGGAUGACUUGUGGCUGGGGGUGAAAGGCCAAUCAAACCGGGAGAUAGCUGGUUCUCCCCGAAAUCUAUUUAGGUAGAGCCUUGAGCGGACACCUUCGGGGGUAGAGCACUGUUUCGGCUAGGGGUCCAUCCCGGAUUACCAACCCGAUGCAAACUACGAAUACCGAAGAGUGAUACUCAGGAGACACACGGCGGGUGCUAACGUCCGUCGUGGAGAGGGAAACAACCCAGACCGCCAGCUAAGGUCCCAAAGUCUAUAUUAAGUGGGAAACGAAGUGGGAAGGCUUAGACAGCUAGGAUGUUGGCUUAGAAGCAGCCAUCAUUUAAAGAAAGCGUAAUAGCUCACUAGUCGAGUCGGCCUGCGCGGAAGAUGUAACGGGGCUCAAAUAUAGCACCGAAGCUGCGGCAUCAGACGAAAGUCUGUUGGGUAGGGGAGCGUUCUGUAAGCGGAUGAAGGUGGCUCGAGAGGGCUGCUGGACGUAUCAGAAGUGCGAAUGCUGACAUAAGUAACGAUAAAACGGGUGAAAAACCCGUUCGCCGGAAGACCAAGGGUUCCUGUCCAACGUUAAUCGGGGCAGGGUGAGUCGGCCCCUAAGGCGAGGCUGAAAAGCGUAGUCGAUGGGAAACGGGUUAAUAUUCCCGUACUUGGAUAAACUGCGAUGUGGGGACGGAGCAGGUUAGGUUAUCGCACUGUUGGAUAUGUGCGUUUAAGUUGGUAGGUGUGAAGUUUAGGCAAAUCCGGACUUCUUUAACACCGAGAGAUGAUGACGAGGCUCUACGGAGCUGAAGUAACCGAUACCACACUUCCAGGAAAAGCCACUAAGCUUCAGGUUUAUCUAAACCGUACUGAAAACCGACACAGGUGGUCAGGUAGAGAAUACUCAGGCGCUUGAGAGAACUCGGGUGAAGGAACUAGGCAAAAUAGCACCGUAACUUCGGGAGAAGGUGCGCCGGCGUAGAUUGUAGUCCCUUGCGGAUGAAGGUUGAACCGGUCGAAGAUACCAGCUGGCUGCAACUGUUUAUUAAAAACACAGCACUCUGCAAACACGAAAGUGGACGUAUAGGGUGUGAUGCCUGCCCGGUGCUGGAAGGUUAAUUGAUGGUGUAAUCGAAAGAGAAGCUCCUGAUCGAAGCCCCAGUAAACGGCGGCCGUAACUAUAACGGUCCUAAGGUAGCGAAAUUCCUUGUCGGGUAAGUUCCGAC
Molecule: ribosomal RNA, 1957 nt
Filed under: human gut metagenome
Description: bacterial LSU rRNA
Rfam family: Bacterial large subunit ribosomal RNA
Source: RNAcentral